GAUGAACGCUAGCGAUAGGCCUAACACAUGCAAGUCGAGGGGCAUCACAUGAAGUAGCAAUACGGAUGGUGGCGACCGGCGCACGGGUGAGUAACACGUAUGCAACCUGCCUUCAACAAGGGGAUAACCCGUUGAAAGACGGACUAAUACCCUAUAACACAGGGGUCCCGCAUGGGAAUAUUUGUUAAAGGACAACCGGUUGAAGAUGGGCAUGCGUUCCAUUAGCUAGUUGGCGGGGUAACGGCCCACCAAGGCAACGAUGGAUAGGGGAACUGAGAGGUUUAUCCCCCACACUGGUACUGAGACACGGACCAGACUCCUACGGGAGGCAGCAGUGAGGAAUAUUGGUCAAUGGACGCAAGUCUGAACCAGCCACGUCGCGUGAAGGAAGACGGCCCUACGGGUUGUAAACUUCUUUUAUACGGGAAUAAAGUGCCCCACGCGUGGGGUUUUAGCAUGUACCGUAUGAAUAAGGAUCGGCU
This 482-nucleotide ribosomal RNA is filed under the name uncultured bacterium. RNAcentral's name for it is "bacterial SSU rRNA". It matches the Rfam family "Bacterial small subunit ribosomal RNA", at positions 28 to 498 of the family's 1533-position model. The record is from RNAcentral.